RNAcentral lists this ribosomal RNA (379 nucleotides) under uncultured cyanobacterium. Its description in RNAcentral is "bacterial SSU rRNA". It matches the Rfam family "Bacterial small subunit ribosomal RNA", at positions 376 to 770 of the family's 1533-position model. Lineage: Bacteria; Bacillati; Cyanobacteriota. The record is from RNAcentral.
GCAACCCCUGACGGAGCAACGCCGCGUGGGGGAGGAAUGUCUGUGGAUUGUAAACCCCUUUUCUCAGGGAAGAAGCUCUGACGGUACCUGAGGAAUCAGCAUCGGCUAACUCCGUGCCAGCAGCCGCGGUAAUACGGAGGAGGCAAGCGUUAUCCGGAAUUAUUGGGCGUAAAGCGUCCGCAGGUGGCGAUUCAAGUCUGCUGUCAAAGCACGGGGCUUAACUCCGUUAAGGCAGUGGAAACUGAAUAGCUAGAGUGCGGUAGGGGUCGAGGGAAUUCCCAGUGUAGCGGUGAAAUGCGUAGAUAUUGGGAAGAACACCAGUGGCGAAAGCGCUCGACUGGGCCUGCACUGACGCUGAGGGACGAAAGCUAGGGGAGCG